UACGUAGGGGGCGAGCGUUGUCCGAAUUCACUGGGCGUAAAGCGCGCGUAGGCGGGUUAUUAAGUUGAUGGUGAAAUCCCAGGGCUCAACCCUGGAACUGCCUUCAAAACUGGUAGCCUUGAGGUAUGAAGGGGGAAGUGGAAUUCCAGGUGUAGCGGUGAAAUGCGUAGAUAUCUGGAGGAACACCUGUGGCGAAGGCGGCUUCCUGGUCAUAUCCUGACGCUGAGGUGCGAAAGCCAGGGGAGCGAAC
Molecule: ribosomal RNA, 250 nt
Filed under: uncultured bacterium
Lineage: Bacteria
Description: partial 16S ribosomal RNA
Rfam family: Bacterial small subunit ribosomal RNA
Source: RNAcentral